This 708-nucleotide small RNA is filed under the name Pongo abelii (Sumatran orangutan). RNAcentral's name for it is "retained intron". Lineage: Eukaryota; Metazoa; Chordata; Mammalia; Primates; Hominidae. The record is from RNAcentral.
UCUCCUUCUUCCUUUUCUUUCUCUCUUUCAGGUUAUUAAAUGCAAAGCAGCCAUCGCCUGGGAAGCAGGCAAGCCCCUUUGCAUUGAAGAGGUUGAAGUAGCUCCCCCCAAGGCUCAUGAAGUUCGCAUUCAGAUCAUUGCCACUUCCCUGUGCCAUACUGAUGCCACUGUUAUCGAUUCUAAAUUUGAGGGCCUAGCUUUCCCAGUGAUCGUUGGCCAUGAGGCUGCAGGGAUUGUGGAAAGUAUUGGGCCAGGAGUGACCAACGUCAAACCAGGUGACAAAGUAAUUCCACUUUAUGCACCUCUAUGUAGAAAAUGCAAGUUUUGUCUGAGUCCACUCACAAAUUUGUGUGGAAAAAUCAGUAAUCUCAAAAGUCCUGCUAGUGAUCAACAACUAAUGGAAGACAAAACCAGCAGGUUUACCUGCAAAGGAAAACCAGUUUACCAUUUCUUUGGAAUCAGUACAUUCUCUCAGUACACUGUGGUGUCAGAUAUCAAUCUUGCCAAAAUAGAUGAUGAUGCAAAUUUAGAGAGAGUUUGUCUGCUUGGAUGUGGGUUUUCAACUGGCUAUGGGGCUGCAAUCAACAAUGCCAAGGUCACCCCUGGUUCGACUUGUGCUGUCUUUGGCCUAGGAGGUGUGGGUCUUUCUGCUGUAAUGGGUUGUAAAGCGGCAGGAGCUUCCAGAAUCAUAGGUAUUGACAUCAACAG